This 490-nucleotide ribosomal RNA is filed under the name uncultured bacterium. RNAcentral's name for it is "partial 16S ribosomal RNA". It matches the Rfam family "Bacterial small subunit ribosomal RNA", at positions 30 to 507 of the family's 1533-position model. The record is from RNAcentral.
AUUGAACGCUGGCGGCAGGCCUAACACAUGCAAGUCGAAUGGUAACAGGAAACAGCUUGCUGUUUCGCUGACGAGUGGCGGACGGGUGAGUAAUGUCUGGGAAACUGCCUGAUGGAGGGGGAUAACUACUGGAAACGGUAGCUAAUACCGCAUAACGCCGCAAGACUAAAGAGGGGGACCUUCGGUCCUCUUGCCAUCAUAUGCGCCCAGAUGGGAUUAGCUUGUAGGUGGGGUAACGGCUCCCCUAGGCGACGAUCCCUAGCUGGUCUGAGGGGAUGACCAGCCACACUGGAACUGAGACACGGUCCAGACUCCUACGGGAGGCAGCAGUGGGGAAUAUUGCACAAUGGGCGCAAGCCUGAUGCAGCCAUGCCGCGUGUAUGAAGAAGGCCUUCGGGUUGUAAAGUACUUUCAGCGGGGAGGAAGGGAGUAAAGUUAAUACCUUUGCUCAUUGACGUUACCCGCAGAAGAAGCACCGGCUAACUCCGUG